Molecule: ribosomal RNA, 254 nt
Filed under: uncultured bacterium
Lineage: Bacteria
Description: partial 16S ribosomal RNA
Rfam family: Bacterial small subunit ribosomal RNA
Source: RNAcentral
UACGUAGGGUGCAAGCGUUGUCCGGAAUUAUUGGGCGUAAAGAGCUCGUAGGCGGUUUUGUUGCGUCGGCUGUGAAAUCCCGAGGCUCAACCUCGGGUCUGCAGUCGAUACGAGCAAACUAGAGUGUUGCAGGGAAGACUGGAAUUCCUGGUGUAGCGGUGAAAUGCGCAGAUAUCAGGAGGAACACCGGUGGCGAAGGCGGCCAUCUGGACCGCAACUGACGCUGAGGCGCGAAAGCGUGGGGAGCAAACAGG